CGGACGGGUGAGUAACGCGUGGGUAACCUGCCUCAUACAGGGGGAUAACAGUUAGAAAUGACUGCUAAUACCGCAUAAGCACACAGAAUCGCAUGAUUCGGUGUGAAAAACUCCGGUGGUAUGAGAUGGACCCGCGUCCGAUUAGCUAGUUGGUGGGGUAAAGGCCUACCAAGGCGACGAUCAGUAGCCGACCUGAGAGGGUGAUCGGCCACAUUGGGACUGAGACACGGCCCAAACUCCUACGGGAGGCAGCAG
Molecule: ribosomal RNA, 255 nt
Filed under: uncultured bacterium
Lineage: Bacteria
Description: partial 16S ribosomal RNA
Rfam family: Bacterial small subunit ribosomal RNA
Source: RNAcentral